AGCUUUGCGCAGCUGAGGUAUCGUGGCCAAUGAGGUUUAUCCGAAGCGCCGUUAUUGCUAAUUGAAAACUUUUCCCAAUACUCCGCCUUGACGACUUGCAAUAUAGUCGGCAUUGGCAAUUUUUGAUAGUCUCUACGGAGA
Small nuclear RNA from Saimiri boliviensis boliviensis (Bolivian squirrel monkey), 141 nucleotides. Its record names the gene U4. It matches the Rfam family "U4 spliceosomal RNA". From Rfam's summary of the family: U4 small nuclear RNA (U4 snRNA) is a component of the major U2-dependent spliceosome. Lineage: Eukaryota; Metazoa; Chordata; Mammalia; Primates; Cebidae. The record is from Ensembl.